This 292-nucleotide ribosomal RNA is filed under the name uncultured bacterium. RNAcentral describes it as "partial 16S ribosomal RNA". It matches the Rfam family "Bacterial small subunit ribosomal RNA", at positions 505 to 796 of the family's 1533-position model. The record is from RNAcentral.
GUGUCAGCAGCCGCGGUAAGACGUAGGAGGCGAGCGUUAUCCGGAUUCACUGGGCGUAAAGCGCAUGUAGGCGGCUCGACAAGUCGUAUGUGUAAGCCCUCGGCUCAACCGGGGGAGGUCAUGCGAGACUGUCGGACUUGAGGGCAGCAGAGGAGCGUGGAACUCCCGGUGUAGCGGUGGAAUGCGUAGAGAUCGGGAAGAACACCAGUGGCGAAGGCGGCGCUCUGGGCUGCAACUGACGCUGAGAUGCGAAAGUGUGGGGAGCAAACGGGAUUAGAUACCCGCGUAGUCC